Molecule: ribosomal RNA, 590 nt
Filed under: Filobasidium sp.
Lineage: Eukaryota; Fungi; Basidiomycota; Tremellomycetes; Filobasidiales; Filobasidiaceae
Description: partial large subunit ribosomal RNA
Rfam family: Eukaryotic large subunit ribosomal RNA
Source: RNAcentral
AAAGGGCAUUCCGUAGCUAGCGGCGAGUGAGCGGGAAGAGCUCAAUUUGAAAUCUGGUGGCCUCAGGUCAUCCGAGUUGUAAUCUAUAGAAGUGUUUUCCGUGCUGGCUCAUGUACAAGUCCCUUGGAACAGGGCGUCAUAGAGGGUGAGAAUCCCGUCCUUGACAUGAACUACCAGUGCUCUGUGAUACAUUUUCAACGAGUCGAGUUGUUUGGGAAUGCAGCUCAAAAUGGGUGGUAAAUUCCAUCUAAAGCUAAAUAUUGGCGAGAGACCGAUAGCGAACAAGUACCGUGAGGGAAAGAUGAAAAGCACUUUGGAAAGAGAGUUAAACAGUAUGUGAAAUUGUUGAAAGGGAAACGAUUGAAGUCAGUCGUGCUCUUUGGAUUCAGCCGGUUCUGCCGGUGUACUUCCUUUGAGUGGGGUCAACAUCAGUUUUGAUCGCUGGAUAAAGGCUGGAGGAAUGUAGUACCCUCGGGUAAACUUAUAGCCUCCUGUCACAUACAGUGGUUGGGACUGAGGAACGCAGCACGCCUUUAUGGCCGGGAUUCGUCCACGUACGUGCUUAGGAUGUUGACAUAAUGGCUUUAAAC